RNAcentral lists this ribosomal RNA (499 nucleotides) under uncultured Sphingobacteriales bacterium. Its description in RNAcentral is "bacterial SSU rRNA". It matches the Rfam family "Bacterial small subunit ribosomal RNA", at positions 903 to 1382 of the family's 1533-position model. The record is from RNAcentral. Lineage: Bacteria; Pseudomonadati; Bacteroidota; Sphingobacteriia; Sphingobacteriales.
UUGCCAGCCCGCUCAGAAACUUAAAGGAAGUUGACGGGGCCCGCACAAGCGGAGGAGCAUGUGGUUUAAUUCGAUGAUACGCGAGGAACCUUACCUGGGCUCGAACGUAAGAUGACUGUAGGUGAAAGCUUACAUCUCUUCGGAGCAUUUUACGAGGUGCUGCAUGGUUGUCGUCAGCUCGUGCCGUGAGGUGUCGGGUUAAGUCCCAUAACGAGCGCAACCCUACCUUUAGUUGCCAUCAGGUAAUGCUGGGGACUCUAAAGGAACUGCCUACGCAAGUAGUGAGGAAGCGGGGAUGACGUCAAAUCAGCACGGUCCUUACGUCCAGGGCUACACACGUGCUACAAUGGCCGAUACAGAGGGCAGCUACCUGGUGACAGGAUGCAAAUCUCCAAAGUCGGUCUCAGUUCGGAUCGGAGUCUGCAACCCGACUCCGUGAAGUUGGAUUCGCUAGUAAUCGCGCAUCAGCCAUGGCGCGGUGAAUACGUUCCCGGGCCUU